Long non-coding RNA from Triticum aestivum (bread wheat), 1267 nucleotides. RefSeq lists it as uncharacterized. The transcript is spliced from 4 exons. NCBI's taxonomy places the organism in Eukaryota, Viridiplantae, Streptophyta, Magnoliopsida, Poales, Poaceae. The record is from RefSeq and is a predicted model, not a curated record.
GUUUAGUUUGGUCCCUAGGUAAUGAUGAAGACCACGCAGACACCAUGUUGGUUAAAAAAUAGGAAGGAGGUUCAGUGAUACCACGUGAAAGCUAUAUUUUGGUGGGCAGCGAUUUUUUUUUUGUCAUUCCCACGCUAGCAACGCGUGUUUUAUUUCGGCCCGCGCUGUUGGGUCCACUAGGCAGUGACUAUGGGCCAAAGGAGUUUGACGCUAGUGGACAAAAAGUUUCACCAAGUCUAGGUCUUCCAUCUCCGGCCAUCUCACUUUCCCCAUCUCUCCAGAUCCAGCGCCGCCACCGCCGCGCUCCUCUUUCUCUUCCCCCCUUUCGUCACAAAUCAAGCACCGCCAUUUGUGAUUCCGCUGCAUGCCAACCUCCUCUCUGAAGGUCGUCGCCCCUCGCCCCUACCCCUUCCUCGCGCACAGAAAGAUCUUGGCGCCGGCACACUAUAGCCGCGGCAAGGUGAGCCCAUGCGGCGAUGGGACAAGAGGAAGCAUGUGGCUACUCGGUUCCAUGGUGUAUAGGGAGACUGAGCGACAGUGGUGAGCAGGGACUUGGACUAGCACCGGCGAGCAGGGAACAACAGCGGUGGCACCUGUAAGCACCAUCCUCCAUUGACAAGCCUCCCUCUAUUGAAGGGAAGCCCCAUGGAUAAUUUGCUCUUUUCAAUGGGUCUAAUAGUGUGUUAUUACCGGCAAGACAUCAUUGCACCGUCCUCAUCCAAGAACUCCAUAUUCAAUCUCAUGUCAUAUUUUGGAAACUAAUCAAGAACCGCCAGCUUUGUGUGCGCAGCAACACUCAGAUGGGCUAUGUGUAGUGUGGGGAGCGAUUAAAGCCUCUUGUCUUAUGUCCAUAUUGCCCAAAUUACAUUCAUUAUGCUGCCUAUCAGAAUAUUCAAGUCUUUGAACUAAGUGCUAAACUACCUGCCAUCACUAAUUUUCAUGAUCACAAUCUCACUUUGGAUGCUUCUCCCCAUGAUUUGGAGCUUGACGCUGCAAAGAUGUUUUUUUAUCCAGUGCAUCUCAAACUUAACUCACUCGCUUGUACCUCUAUGGCAGCCAACCUCUUGAUCCUUACUUUUCUGGGUCUUGAAGUCUAUUGAGCAUACAUAACAUGUUGUUGCAAGUUAUUUGCAGUAGCAGAUACUUAGCCGGACCAACGAUGCUUGUACAUGCUGAUUUAGGUAUUCUGCUAGCUGUAGAAAUUUUAGAUAUAGUGUAUUUUCUAAAUUCUGGCUUGAAAUCGACCAUGAGUCUGAUGUAUGUUAAA